GCCUCGUUAGCUCAGCGGACAGAGCGGCCCGUUCCUAGCGGGUAGGUCGGCUGUUCGAUCCAGCCACGAGGCACCA
RNAcentral lists this transfer RNA (76 nucleotides) under Methylibium petroleiphilum PM1. RNAcentral describes it as "tRNA-Arg (CCT) (tRNA-Arg-CCT-2-1)". The record is from RNAcentral. Lineage: Bacteria; Pseudomonadati; Pseudomonadota; Betaproteobacteria; Burkholderiales; Sphaerotilaceae.